UACGGGAGGCAGCAGUGGGGAAUCUUGCGCAAUGGGCGAAAGCCUGACGCAGCCAUGCCGCGUGAAUGAUGAAGGUCUUAGGAUUGUAAAAUUCUUUCACCGGGGACGAUAAUGACGGUACCCGGAGAAGAAGCCCCGGCUAACUUCGUGCCAGCAGCCGCGGUAAUACGAAGGGGCUAGCGUUGCUCGGAAUUACUGGGCGUAAAGGGAGCGUAGGCGGACAUUUAAGUCAGGGGUGAAAUCCCGGGGCUCAACCUCGGAAUUGCUUUUUGAUACUGGGUGUCUUGAGUAUGAGAGAGGUGUGUGGAACUCCGAGUGUAGAGGUGAAAUUCGUAGAUAUUCGGAAGAACACCAGUGGCGAAGGCGACACACUGGCUCAUUACUGACGCUGAGGCUCGAAAGCGUGGGGAGCAAACGAGGGAUUAGAUACC
Molecule: ribosomal RNA, 431 nt
Filed under: uncultured bacterium
Lineage: Bacteria
Description: bacterial SSU rRNA
Rfam family: Bacterial small subunit ribosomal RNA
Source: RNAcentral